RNAcentral lists this long non-coding RNA (372 nucleotides) under Homo sapiens (human). RNAcentral's name for it is "non-protein coding lnc-SNTG2-8:4". The record is from RNAcentral. Lineage: Eukaryota; Metazoa; Chordata; Mammalia; Primates; Hominidae.
AGAUACCCAUGUUGCAGUCGGCGGAGCCUGUGAAUGUCCCUUCCACGGACCCUGCAGGUGGGCUCAGCGAAGGGCCUGAAGAUGGGAGCUGACUGUCCUGGGGGGUCCACUGGAAUCGCAGAGAAAAGCAUUAUUUCAAGUAAAAUGUAUAAUUUUAAGCAUUAAAUGCUGAUGCCAAAAAAAAAAAAAAGACAAAGACUGGAGAUUGGUAAACUAAGCAUCCAAAGGGUGACAUUUGAAAGAAUCACAGAAUCACAGAAUAUAUACUAAGUAACAACUGUGGGAUAUGCCAUGACAGCAUUUUUAACCAGUUUGACAAUCUGCUUCAUGAUUGGCAUGUUUAGACAUUUUCAUUUAAUCACUUAGAGGGUU